This 1316-nucleotide ribosomal RNA is filed under the name Halteria grandinella. Its description in RNAcentral is "eukaryotic LSU rRNA". The stretch from base 504 to 1316 matches the Rfam family "Eukaryotic large subunit ribosomal RNA", at positions 1 to 840 of the family's 3401-position model. The record is from RNAcentral. Lineage: Eukaryota; Ciliophora; Spirotrichea; Sporadotrichida; Halteriidae.
GUCGUAACAAGGUUUCCGUAGGUGAACCUGCGGAAGGAUCAUUAACACUAAUCCAUCUCAACUCAACAAAGCCUUUAGUUGUAGCAGUGGUAACAUUGCUACAGCAUCUUACAAAACUAAUUAAUCAAAGGAGCCUAAGUAAGCACCAACACUAAAACCAAAUUCUCAACGGUGGAUGUCUUGGUUCCCACAACGAUGAAGAACGCAGCGAAGUGCGAUAAGCAGUGCGAAUUGCAGAACCGUGAGUCACCAGAUUUUUGAACGCAACUGGCGCCGUGCGGGGUCACCCGCCGGCACGCCUGGUCCAGUGUCUUGUUCUCUCCUCACCCAAAUCCUUAUGCGAGAGAUGCCCUUCUCUUGCCAAGCAUGAAAGCACUCUGCUUACUGCGAGCGGCCUUCGGGUCGCGCUCCAUGCAGACGUCACAUUUUACAAUGUGAACUCAUGGAGAGCGGUGGCAGUGCAGCGUCAGCUGCCAGUGCUUAGACAAACCAACUUAGGUACAGUAUCUGGGCUCAGGUGGGACCACCCGCUGAACUUAAGCAUAUCACUAAGCGGAGGAAAAGAAACUAACUAGGAUGGCCUCAGUAACGGCGAGUGAAGCGGCCAGAGCCCAAGAUGGUAAUCUCCGUGCUGCGCACGGCGAAUUGUAAUCUAGAGAGGCUAUGCUCAACGGAGGGUGGCGCAGAAGUGCCCUGGAACGGGCCGCCAGAGAGGGUGACAGCCCCGUACGUGGCGCCGCCGUCUAACGAGCAGGUCUUCAAAGAGUCGGGUUGUUUUGUAUUGCAGCCCUAAGUGGGAGAUAAACUUCUUCUAAGGCUAAAUAUAUGUGGGAAACCGAUAGCGAACAAGUACUGUGAAGGAAAGAUGAAAAGCACUUUGGAAAGAGAGUCAAAAGACCUGAAACCGUUGAGGAGGAAGCGGUAGAGAUGAAUUCUACGGCGAAGCGCGUUCAAGGCCUAACCACCAUUGUAUGGGGAAGCCGAUAGCGUGACGUCGUGAGGCCGGAUGGGGUGACGCGAUCACAGAGGCCUUUCAAGCCUGGCGCGACUUGUCGUGCAGCUUGGGAGUGCCGGUGGCCGCGUGGCCUGAGGGUGCCUUGUGCGAUCCGGUCAAAAUGGUCUUUACCGACUCGUCUUGAAACACGAACCAAGGAGUCUAACGUACGCGCGAGUGUGCCGGUGCAGAAACCGACACGCGUAAUGAAGGUAAAAGAUGCCAAGCGCAAGCAGCAGCAUCGACCGACCAUGAUCCUCUGGUGAAAGGUUUGAGUAAGAGCGCGUCCGCUAGGACCCGAAAGAUGGUGAACUAUGCGUGA